Molecule: transfer RNA, 78 nt
Filed under: Chitinophaga pinensis
Lineage: Bacteria; Pseudomonadati; Bacteroidota; Chitinophagia; Chitinophagales; Chitinophagaceae
Description: tRNA-Arg
Rfam family: tRNA (bases 3-72)
About the family: Transfer RNA (tRNA) molecules are approximately 80 nucleotides in length.
Source: RNAcentral
AACAGGGUAGCUCAGUUGGUAGAGCAAUGAUAGCGAGGGAUCUAUGGGUCACAGGUUCGAUUCCUGUUCCUGGAAACA